Molecule: long non-coding RNA, 317 nt
Filed under: Elaeis guineensis (African oil palm)
Lineage: Eukaryota; Viridiplantae; Streptophyta; Magnoliopsida; Arecales; Arecaceae
Description: long non-coding RNA (EGUI_LNC076282)
Source: RNAcentral
GGGGAGGUUGAAGUUCGACGGGAUUGGUUCCUGAUGAUUAUUUGAGAGAAAGGAGGGUCAGUACAGAUGUCCUCACCGUAAGCAGUGGAAGCACGACGGAGCUCUUCGAUCUAUCGGUUCAUCUCCUAGAAUCUGUGAUCCAGGAGGUCCUCUCGAUUGCGGACCUCGAGGGUCUUCUGGUGGAGCGGAGGCAGGGACUCUCUGGGGGUUGAAUCAUGAUCGGAUGGAGGACUCUCCGCCUUCUAUUUUUCUUUUCUGGGAAAGACAGGGUGGCUGGCCCAUGUGGCCCGUCCGGUCGUCGGAUUCUGGAACUCCGA